Molecule: long non-coding RNA, 1118 nt
Organism: Oncorhynchus tshawytscha (Chinook salmon)
Lineage: Eukaryota; Metazoa; Chordata; Actinopteri; Salmoniformes; Salmonidae
Source: Ensembl
GAGAGAAAGAGAGAGGACACAGAGAGAAAGAGAGGGGGGAGGAGAUAUAGAGAUAGGGAGAGAGAAAGAGAGAGGACACAGAGAGAAAGAGAGGGGGGAGGAGAUAUAGAGAUAGGGAGAGAGAAAGAGAGAGGACACAGAGAGAAAGAGAGGGGGGGGAGGAGAUAUAGAGAUAGGGAGAGAGAAAGAGAGAGGACACAGAGAGAAAGAGAGGGGGGGAGGAGAUAUAGAGAUAGGGAGAGAGAAAGAGAGAGGACACAAAGAGAAAGAGAAAUACGGAGAUGUAUACCCUGAAAACUCGUACGAAUUUCCCGAAAAUUCUUCAUUUAGCUGGCAGUGUUUUGGACCAGGGCUUGCAUUAAUUCAUGCAUUAAGGUGUAAGAUUUCCCUCUGGCUAUCACACGUGUUCCUCAACAGCUAGGAAACACCAGUCCCCAUGUCUGUCCAUCUGCCAGCUAAAAGAAUAGAGUUCUGCUACAGUCCCCAUAUCUGUCCAUCUGCCAGCUAAAAGAAUACAGUUCUGCUACAGUCCCAGUGAGCCACUCAGAAUAGCCAAGGCCUAUUGUUCAGUAGGUCUCCUAUAGAUGUCAAACAGUGUCAUGCUGUUGUUAGUCUGAUCUCAGCUUGUAUCAGGGAGAUGGAGGUGCACAUUAAACAGUGUCAUGCUGUUCGUCUGAUCUCAGCUUGUAUCGGGGAGAUGGAGGUGCACAUUAAACAGUGUCAUGCUGUUCGUCUGAUCUCAGCUUGUAUCGGGGAGAUGGAGGUGCACAUUAAACAGUGUCAUGCUGUUCGUCUGAUCUCAGCUUGUAUCGGGGAGAUGGAGGUGCACAUUAAACAGUGUCAUGCUGUUGUUCGUCUGAUCUCAGCUUGUAUCGGGGAGAUGGAGGUGCACAUUAAACAGUUGGAUGAUAGAUACUGUAAAUACAAUUUAAAAUAUCCUUUCCAGAUUUAAAUGAUUUAUCAAAACUUGUAUUUUUCUAAUUUUCUAAUUAUGCCCGUCAUGUUGUCCAAGAGGGAAUUUGUGUUUGUGCAUUAGUGUUUCUCUACGUGUUUGGAUAUAAUUGUCUCUAUUUCGUUUGGUUGUUCCUGAGGGCAUUGCGAGGCUUAAGGAAGAUCAC